AACGGGUGAGUAAUACAUAAGUAACCUGCCUGCAAGGACUGGGAUAACAUCUGGAAACGGGUGCUAAUACCGGAUACGUAACAAAAGGGCAUCCUUCUGUUAUUAAAGGUUUAAGACACAAGCAGAUGGGCUUAUGUUGCAUUAGCUUGUUGGUGAGAUAAAAGCCCACCAAGGCGAUGAUGCAUAGCCGGCCUGAGAGGGUGAACGGCCACACUGGAACUGAGACACGGUCCAGACUCCUACGGGAGGCAGCAGUGGGGAAUCUUCCGCAAUGGGCGAAAGCCUGACGGAGCAACGCCGCGUGGGUGAGGAAGUUCUUCGGAACGUAAAGCCCUGUUGUACAUGACGAACGUGCUUUCUAUCAACAACGGGAAGCAAUGACGGUAGUGUACGAGGAAGCCACGGCUAACUACGUGCCAGCAGCCGCGGUAAUACGUAGGUGGCAAGCGUUGUCCGGAAUUAUUGGGCGUAAAGCGCAUGUAGGCGGUGCCUUAAGUCUGUCGUGAAACUGCGGGGCCUAACCCCGUAUGGCGAUGGAAACUGUGGCACUUGAGUGCAGGAGAGGAAAGGGGAACUCCCAGUGUAGCGGUGAAAUGCGUAGAUAUUGGGAAGAACACCGGUGGCGAAGGCGCCUUUCUGGACUGUGUCUGACGCUGAGAUGCGAAAGCCAGGGUAGCGAACGGGAUUAGAUACCCCGGUAGUCCUGGCCGUAAACGAUGGGUACUAGGUGUGGGAGGUAUCGACCCCUUCCGUGCCGGAGUUAACGCAAUAAGUACCCCGCCUGGGGGAGUACGGCCGCAAGGCUUAAACUCAAAGGAAUUGACGGGGGCCCGCACAAGCGGUGGAGUAUGUGGUUUAAUUCGACGCAACGCGAAGAACCUUACCAGGGCUUGACAUCGAUUGCAAGGGAUAGAGAUAUCCCCCUCUCUUCGGAGACAAGAAGACAGGUGGUGCAUGGCUGUCGUCAGCUCGUGUCGUGAGAUGUUGGGUUAAGUCCCGCAACGAGCGCAACCCCUAUCCCAUGUUACCAUCAUUAAGUUGGGGACUCAUGGGAGACUGCCAGGGACAACCUGGAGGAAGGCGGGGAUGACGUCAAGUCAUCAUGCCCCUUAUGUCCUGGGCUACACACGUACUACAAUGGCCGGCAACAGAGGGAAGCGAAGCCGCGAGGCGGAGCGAACCCCAGAAACCCGGUCCCAGUUCGGAUCGCAGGCUGCAACCCGCCUGCGUGAAGUCGGAAUCGCUAGUAAUCGCAGGUCAGCAUACUGCGGUGAAUACGUUCCCGGGCCUUGUACACACCGCCCGUCACACCACGAAAGUUGGUAACACCCGAAGC
This 1336-nucleotide ribosomal RNA is filed under the name uncultured rumen bacterium. Its description in RNAcentral is "bacterial SSU rRNA". It matches the Rfam family "Bacterial small subunit ribosomal RNA", at positions 101 to 1427 of the family's 1533-position model. The record is from RNAcentral.